GCAACAAGGUUUGCCGGAUGCCUCUGCUCUGGUUUGAAUUUUGAUUUCUUCGUCAUUCUUGCCUUGAAUUGUUUUGAGGUGAAUCUGAAGCUAGUAUUAUAAGAUCUGUGAAAUUUUCCUUCAAUCGAAUGGAAAGUUCAGUACAGGUUUUAAGAGUAAUUUGAAUCGUCAAUAGUUCUAUUCUUUAAUCUUCAACAGUUGAAAUGAAAUGAAGUAGGGCUAAUUUUGAUGGCCAUGUUCGUCGUCUUCUCUUUCCCUGUUCAAGAAGAAAUUCGAGGAACCAUUGUAGCUUUUGUGGAGUCGAUGACCAAAGCCAUGGAGUGAAACCAGAGUAGUUACAGGUUAUUUUCUGAUUAUUAAUUAAUUAGGAGUUUAGUUUUAAAUUUAUAUUAAAAAAAUUUAAUGAUGUAUAAUAAUUACAAUGUAAAUAAAAUAUAUUUUUAAUAUUAAAACAAUAUUUUAUAAUUUUUUAUUUUGUUUAAUUAAAGAAUUAAUAAUUGAAAAUGUUUUUGUACCAACAAAAGUUAAAAAGGCAGGUGAACAGUCAUGCGAACAAUAUAUUUUACAAUUUAGUGAAGUAAAUAAAGCAUGUAUAUAUAUAAUACAAAAGGUUGAAUUUGCUAAUAGGGAAUCAUCCAUCAACAUAAAUAUAACCAUAGUUCUCUUUCGGUCAAUAUUAAACAUGAAAAUUACUCAUCGUUUCAUCAACAAGAGACUUCACAAAAUACUUAAUAAAUUCAUACAUAUGUUCUGAUAGAAGUGACAUGAGAAAAUCUUUAUUCCCGGAAGGUCUCACAACUUUUUUUUAUAGAGAAACAUAUGUAGAUUCUCAUAAAUAAUAAAAAUUUAGUGAUUUAGAGUAAUACAAUGACAUAUAUUUAUUUAAAUAAAUUAUAUUAUUCUAAUAUUUUUUAAAUUUUGAAUAAUCUGUUUAAAAGAGUUCGACUCAUUUAAAGUAAAUAAAUUUACAUAAUUGUAUAGAUAAUAUAGAAACAAACUUAAAUUUUAAAGAUUAUAUUACUAAGUAUUCCUGGGUAGGUCGACAUGUUUCUUCUAACGAUGAAACUAUAAAACUUAUUCUUCAUGACAGUGGAUAUGAGAUUACAAUGCACCUCUUAAAUGAUUGACAACCUUUUCUUAGUGAUCGGUAUAAGUUGAAUACUGAUGGAUUUGCUCAGGUGAUCUAGAAGACGUUACUUUAUGUAGCUUGAUUAAAAACAAUUAUGGAAGAUGUGUAACUAGAUUUAUGUAUGGCAUAAUAUUUGGUGUUGUGAUAUCAUUUGAGAUUCAAGUUCACUCAUAAGAUAUGUAUUAAGAGAUUAAUUAUUGAAGUUGAUUCAUUUUAUCUCAUUAAACUCCUCCAUAGUUAUUUUAUCUAUACUAGUUUUAAUAUAGUUUUAUCGUUCAGAUUUAUUAUAUUAUUAACAGUAAUUAAGAUAUUUAGGUAAC
This 1449-nucleotide long non-coding RNA is filed under the name Carica papaya (papaya). RNAcentral describes it as "long non-coding RNA (CPAP_LNC013935)". The record is from RNAcentral. Lineage: Eukaryota; Viridiplantae; Streptophyta; Magnoliopsida; Brassicales; Caricaceae.